This 368-nucleotide ribosomal RNA is filed under the name uncultured organism. RNAcentral describes it as "bacterial SSU rRNA". It matches the Rfam family "Bacterial small subunit ribosomal RNA", at positions 526 to 896 of the family's 1533-position model. The record is from RNAcentral.
CGGAGGGUGCAAGCGUUAUCCGGAAUCAUUGGGUUUAAAGGGUCCGCAGGCGGUCUUAUAAGUCAGUGGUGAAAGCCUACAGCUUAACUGUAGAACUGCCAUUGAUACUGUAAGACUUGAAUUCGGUCGAAGUGGGCGGAAUGUGACAUGUAGCGGUGAAAUGCUUAGAUAUGUCACAGAACACCGAUAGCGAAGGCAGCUCACUAGGCCUGGAUUGACGCUCAUGGACGAAAGCGUGGGGAGCAAACAGGAUUAGAUACCCUGGUAGUCCGCGCCGUAAACUAUGAUUACUCGUUUUCGGCGAUAUACAGUCGGAGACUAAGCGAAAGUGAUAAGUAAUCCACCUGGGGAGUACGAUCGCAAGGUUG